AAUUGACGGGGACCCGCACAAGCGGUGGAUGAUGUGGUUUAAUUCGAUGCAACGCGAAAAACCUUACCCACCUUUGACAUGUACGGAAUCCUUUAGAGAUAGAGGAGUGCUCGAAAGAGAGCCGUAACACAGGUGCUGCAUGGCUGUCGUCAGCUCGUGUCGUGAGAUGUUGGGUUAAGUCCCGCAACGAGCGCAACCCUUGCCAUUAGUUGCUACGAAAGGGCACUCUAAUGGGACUGCCGGUGACAAACCGGAGGAAGGUGGGGAUGACGUCAAGUCCUCAUGGCCCUUAUAGGUGGGGCUACACACGUCAUACAAUGGCUGGUACAGAGGGUUGCCAACCCGCGAGGGGGAGCUAAUCCCAUAAAGCCAGUCGUAGUCCGGAUCGCAGUCUGCAACUCGACUGCGUGAAGUCGGAAUCGCUAGUAAUCGCGGAUCAGAAUGUCGCGGUGAAUACGUUCCCGGGUCUUGUACACACCGCCCGUCACACCAUGGGAGCGGGUUCUGCCAGAAGUAGGUAGACUAACCGUAAG
This 533-nucleotide ribosomal RNA is filed under the name uncultured Acidovorax sp. Its description in RNAcentral is "bacterial SSU rRNA". It matches the Rfam family "Bacterial small subunit ribosomal RNA", at positions 908 to 1445 of the family's 1533-position model. Lineage: Bacteria; Pseudomonadati; Pseudomonadota; Betaproteobacteria; Burkholderiales; Comamonadaceae. The record is from RNAcentral.